Long non-coding RNA from Ictalurus punctatus (channel catfish), 674 nucleotides. The record is from Ensembl. Lineage: Eukaryota; Metazoa; Chordata; Actinopteri; Siluriformes; Ictaluridae.
GUGUAUUAGAGGUUAGUGUGUUAGGGGUUAGUGUGUUAGGGGUUAGUGUGUUAGGGGUUAGUGUGUUAGAGGUUAGUGUGUUAGAGGUUAGUGUGUUAGGGGUUAGUGUGUUAGGGGUUAGUGUGUUAGGGGUUAGUGUAUUAGAGGUUAGUGUGUUAGGGGUUAGUGUGUUAGGGGUUAGUGUGUUAGGGGUUAGUGUGUUAGAGGUUAGUGUGUUAGGGCUUAGUUUGCCUGACUGUCUCUAUCUGUGUCUCCCCCUCUCUCUUUUUGGGUAUCUCUCUCUUUUUCUUUCCAUGUCUCUGUCUAUCUUUCAGUGUCACUUUGGGUUGCUUUAUCUCUCUCUUUCUGUGUCUCUCUCUCUCUCUCGUGUUUCUCUCUUUUCAUCUCUUGUGUCUCUCAUUCUCUGUCUGUAUCACUGUCUCUAUCCCACACUUUUUCUUUUUGUGUGUCUUUUUCUAUAACUCUCACUGUCUCUGUUGUUUUGGGUGUAUCUCUCUCUCUCGUUCUCUCUUUGGGUGUCUCUCGCUCAGUCUGUCUUUCUCUUCAAGUGUCUCUCUCUCUCUCUGUCUAUAUCUCUCGCUCUCUCUUUUCCUGUCUCUUUUUUUUAUAUCUUGGGUCUCUCUCUCCUUGAGUGUCUCUCUUUCUCUCUCUGGGUUGCAAUCUUUCUCUUAUUG